This 393-nucleotide ribosomal RNA is filed under the name uncultured bacterium. Its description in RNAcentral is "partial 16S ribosomal RNA". It matches the Rfam family "Bacterial small subunit ribosomal RNA", at positions 523 to 918 of the family's 1533-position model. The record is from RNAcentral.
AUGCGGAGGAUCCGAGCGUUAUCCGGAUUUAUUGGGUUUAAAGGGUGCGUAGGCGGCCUUUUAAGUCAGCGGUGAAAGUCUGUGGCUCAACCAUAGAAUUGCCGUUGAAACUGGGAGGCUUGAGUAUGUUUGAGGCAGGCGGAAUGCGUGGGGUAGCGGUGAAAUGUUUAGAUAUCACGCAGAACCCCGAUUGGGAAGGCAGCCUGCCAAGCCAUGACUGACGCUGAUGCACGAAAGCGUGGGGAUCAAACAGGAUUAGAUACCCUGGUAGUCCACGCAGUAAACGAUGAUCACUAGCUGUUUGCGAUACACUGUAAGCGGCACAGCGAAAGCGUUAAGUGAUCCACCUGGGGAGUACGCCGGCAACGGUGAAACUCAAAUGAAUUGACGGGG